AACGCACAUUGCGCCCCUUGGUAUUCCGAGGGGCAUGCCUGUUCGAGCGUCAUUACAACCCUCAAGCAUUGCUUGGUAUUGGGCUCCGCUGUUCACCCAGCAGGCCUUAAAAUCAGUGGCGGUGCCGUCGAGGCCCUGAGCGUAGUAAAUAUCCUCGCUAUAGGGACCCGGUGGAUACUGGCCAUCAACCCCCCACUUUCUAAGUUUGACCUCGGAUCAGGUAGGGAUACCCGCUGAACUUAA
Molecule: unclassified non-coding RNA, 243 nt
Filed under: uncultured fungus
Lineage: Eukaryota; Fungi
Description: sequence contains ITS2
Rfam family: 5.8S ribosomal RNA (bases 1-52)
Source: RNAcentral